Molecule: ribosomal RNA, 253 nt
Filed under: uncultured bacterium
Lineage: Bacteria
Description: partial 16S ribosomal RNA
Rfam family: Bacterial small subunit ribosomal RNA
Source: RNAcentral
UACAGAGGGUGCGAGCGUUAAUCGGAAUUACUGGGCGUAAAGCGCGCGUAGGCGGCUUUGCAAGUCGAGUGUGAAAUCCCCAGGCUUAACCUGGGAACUGCAUUCGAGACUGCAUAGCUAGAGUAUGGGAGAGGGAAGUGGAAUUUCAGGUGUAGCGGUGAAAUGCGUAGAUAUCUGAAGGAACACCAGUGGCGAAAGCGACUUCCUGGACCAAGACUGACGCUCAUGUGCGAAAGCGUGGGGAGCAAACAGG